UGGUCAAGUUAUUAAGGGUGCAGGGCGGAUGCCUUGGCACUAGGAGCCGAUGAAGGACGUGAUAAGCUGCGAUAAGCUUCGGGGAGUUGCACGUAAACUUUGAUCCGAAGAUUUCCGAAUGAGGAAACUCACUUAGAGUAAUGUCUAAGUAUCAUUAAGUGAAUACAUAGCUUAAUGAGGGGAACUCAGGGAACUGAAACAUCUAAGUACCUGAAGGAAGAGAAAGAAAUUCGAUUCCGUAAGUAGCGGCGAGCGAACGCGGAUUAGCCCAAACCAAUAAAGUUUUCUUUGUUGGGGUUGCGGACAUAUCAUAACGAAGAGGUAUCGUAAUUGAAGAGGUUUGGAAAGACCCACCACAGAAGGUAAUAGUCCUGUAUGUUAAACGAGAAGACUUUAGAUAUGAUCCAGAGUACCACGGGACACGUGAAACCCUGUGGGAAGCAGGAGGGACCACCCUCCAAGGCUAAAUACUACCUAGUGACCGAUAGCGUAUAGUACCGUGAGGGAAAGGUGAAAAGAACCCCGGGAGGGGAGUGAAAUAGAACCUGAAACCCUGCACUUACAAGCUGUGGAAGCACAUUUCUUGUGUGACCGCGUACUUUUUGUAGAACGGGCCAACGAGUUACGUUAAGUAGCAAGGUUAAGCACUUAAGGUGCGGAGCCGUAGCGAAAGCGAGUUUUAACUGAGCGUUCAGUUACUUGACGUAGACCCGAAACCGGGCGACCUACCCAUGAGCAGGAUGAAGCGAAAGUAAAAUUUCGUGGAGGUCCGAACCCACGAGCGUUGAAAAGCUCGGGGAUGACUUGUGGGUAGCGGU
This 818-nucleotide ribosomal RNA is filed under the name Clostridioides difficile. RNAcentral's name for it is "partial 23S ribosomal RNA". It matches the Rfam family "Bacterial large subunit ribosomal RNA", at positions 1 to 822 of the family's 2925-position model. Lineage: Bacteria; Bacillati; Bacillota; Clostridia; Peptostreptococcales; Peptostreptococcaceae. The record is from RNAcentral.